AGAGUUUGAUCCUGGCUCAGAUUGAACGCUGGCGGCAGGCUUAACACAUGCAAUUCGAGCGGUGACAGGGGGAGCUUGCUCCCUGCUGACGAGCGGCGGACGGGUGAGUAAUGCAUAGGAAUCUGCCCAGUAGUGGGGGAUAGCCCCGGGAAACCCGGAUUAAUACCGCAUACGCCCUACGGGGGAAAGCAGGGGAUCUUCGGACCUUGCGCUAUUGGAUGAGCCUAUGUCGGAUUAGCUAGUUGGUGGGGUAAAGGCUCACCAAGGCGACGAUCGGUAGCUGGUCUGAGAGGAUGAUCAGCCACACUGGGACUGAGACACGGCCCAGACUCCUACGGGAGGCAGCAGUGGGGAAUAUUGGACAAUGGGCGCAAGCCUGAUCCAGCCAUGCCGCGUGAGUGAAGAAGGCCUUCGGGUUGUAAAGCUCUUCAGACGGGAAGAUGAUGACGGUACCGUCAGAAGAGCCUCGAUUCCCU
This 476-nucleotide ribosomal RNA is filed under the name Marinobacter sp. enrichment clone A46. RNAcentral describes it as "bacterial SSU rRNA". It matches the Rfam family "Bacterial small subunit ribosomal RNA", at positions 8 to 502 of the family's 1533-position model. The record is from RNAcentral. Lineage: Bacteria; Pseudomonadati; Pseudomonadota; Gammaproteobacteria; Pseudomonadales; Marinobacteraceae.